This 773-nucleotide ribosomal RNA is filed under the name Streptococcus anginosus. RNAcentral's name for it is "bacterial SSU rRNA". It matches the Rfam family "Bacterial small subunit ribosomal RNA", at positions 28 to 776 of the family's 1533-position model. Lineage: Bacteria; Bacillati; Bacillota; Bacilli; Lactobacillales; Streptococcaceae. The record is from RNAcentral.
GACGAACGCUGGCGGCGUGCCUAAUACAUGCAAGUAGGACGCACAGUUUAUACCGUAGCUUGCUACACCAUAGACUGUGAGUUGCGAACGGGUGAGUAACGCGUAGGUAACCUGCCUAUUAGAGGGGGAUAACUAUUGGAAACGAUAGCUAAUACCGCAUAACAGUAUGUAACACAUGUUAGAUGCUUGAAAGAUGCAAUUGCAUCGCUAGUAGAUGGACCUGCGUUGUAUUAGCUAGUAGGUAGGGUAAUGGCCUACCUAGGCGACGAUACAUAGCCGACCUGAGAGGGUGAUCGGCCACACUGGGACUGAGACACGGCCCAGACUCCUACGGGAGGCAGCAGUAGGGAAUCUUCGGCAAUGGGGGGAACCCUGACCGAGUAACGCCGCGUGAGUGAAGAAGGUUUUCGGAUCGUAAAGCUCUGUUGUUAAGGAAGAACGAGUGUGAAAAUGGAAAGUUCAUACUGUGACGGUACUUAACCAGAAAGGGACGGCUAACUACGUGCCAGCAGCCGCGGUAAUACGUAGGUCCCGAGCGUUGUCCGGAUUUAUUGGGCGUAAAGCGAGCGCAGGCGGUUAGAAAAGUCUGAAGUGAAAGGCAGUGGCUCAACCAUUGUAGGCUUUGGAAACUGUUUAACUUGAGUGCGGAAGGGGAGAGUGGAAUUCCAUGUGUAGCGGUGAAAUGCGUAGAUAUAUGGAGGAACACCGGUGGCGAAAGCGGCUCUCUGGUCUGUAACUGACGCUGAGGCUCGAAAGCUUGGGGAGCGAACAGG